GUCUACAGCCAUGCCACCUUGAAUGUGCCAGAUCUCAUCUGAUCUUGGAAGCUAAGCAGGUUCGGGCCUGGUUAGUACUUGGAUAGGAAUACCAGAUGCUGUAGGUG
Molecule: ribosomal RNA, 107 nt
Filed under: Pteropus alecto (black flying fox)
Lineage: Eukaryota; Metazoa; Chordata; Mammalia; Chiroptera; Pteropodidae
Source: RNAcentral